This 274-nucleotide ribosomal RNA is filed under the name uncultured bacterium. Its description in RNAcentral is "partial 16S ribosomal RNA". The record is from RNAcentral.
CUGCUGCCUCCCGUAGGAGUCUGGUCCGUGUCUCAGUACCAGUGUGGGGGACCUUCCUCUCAGAACCCCUACGCAUCGUCGCCUCGGUGGGCCGUUACCCCGCCGACUAGCUAAUGCGCCGCAUGCCCAUCCCCCGCCGGAAUCGCUUCCUUUAGCCGCCGGGCCAUGCAGCCCCGCGGCGUUACGCGGUAUUAGUCGGGAUUUCUCCCGGUUAUCCCCCUGCGGGGGGCAGGUCGCAUACGUGUUACUCACCCGUGCGCCGGUCGCCGGCAGG